This 253-nucleotide ribosomal RNA is filed under the name uncultured bacterium. Its description in RNAcentral is "partial 16S ribosomal RNA". It matches the Rfam family "Bacterial small subunit ribosomal RNA", at positions 524 to 776 of the family's 1533-position model. The record is from RNAcentral.
UACAGAGGUCUCAAGCGUUGUCCGGAAUCAUUGGGCGUAAAGAGCUCGUAGGCGGCUCGGUAAGUCGGCUGUGAAAGUCCAGGGCUCAACCCUGGGAUGCCGGUCGAUACUGCCGGACUAGAGUUCGGAAGAGGCGAGUGGAAUUCCCGGUGUAGCGGUGAAAUGCGCAGAUAUCGGGAGGAAUACCCAUAGCGAAGGCAGCUCGCUGGGACGUUACUGACGCUGAGGCGCGAAAGCGUGGGGAGCGAACAGG